GGCUCCUAAGUAGAAGUGAGAUAUGGGACUUCCAAGUUGUACCCUGAAAAGAAAGGAGCAUGCUGUCUCAUUUUAUGUUCCUUCUUCCUGCAGCUGGAAUGGAAACAUGAUGGUGGGAACUGGAGCAGCUCUCUUGGACCACGAAACAGAAACUAGGUCAUGAGCACCUGUCAGGAUCCCCACGGGGCAUGGAGUCUGCUUAAGAUUCUCUUCCUCUCCCUCUCCUGCUGCACAACCUCCCCCUCCACCCUGCCCAAAACAAGCAAACAACCUACGGAAUACAAGAAAG
This 289-nucleotide long non-coding RNA is filed under the name Mustela putorius furo (domestic ferret). RNAcentral's name for it is "lncRNA (ENSMPUG00000024337.1)". The record is from RNAcentral. Lineage: Eukaryota; Metazoa; Chordata; Mammalia; Carnivora; Mustelidae.